AUGAAAAAGAGCAGAAAAAACAUAGUUAAUCAAAGGAAAUUGAUCAAAUACAAUAGGCCUAAACGGGAGAAUUAGGAUAAGGAAGUUCUGCUCAAGUGUCAACACAACAGCACCCGUUUAUCUACUGUUAAGAGAACACCGAACAAAUGAACUCUCACCUACAUUUAGAGAAAGUGUCCUUAAGUAUUUGCAUCUGACAGGCUGUAGCCCAUGUUAUUAUAGGAGGGGUCAAUUCUGCAAAAUCUGCAACAGCAGUUUAAUCCUAACAGGGUUUCUGCAACACAGCAGCAUACAGUUAUUCUCCUCCGGCUUAUAAAUAGGCAACUUUCUCAAUUUCUGUCUGAGCAGUUGAAUCCUCAGCCUGUAGCUCCUUCAAUCUUUAGUCACACCUAUUUCUCUCCAGUCCGAUUAAGACAAUAACACAUUUUAAUGCCUCUCAUGGUAUGUGGCCUAAAUUCUUAAUCACCAGAGAGCCAGAGAGCGCAGCUGGCAAAAAGCUAACCAUUUGGCAGGAGUCAGGGACAGCCGCUGGGAUACAAGAAGCCAUUGCUUUUCUAACAAGAGCUCAUUCUUCUCCAUCUUCUUCACUGUAGAUGUAAUCAUGUCCUCAACAAACAGACUCUAAACACCUCUUUUAAUAGCAGCAACAAAUCUCUGUUGAUCGGUGCCAGGGCAUGACAACAUCAUGGUGUCACACACACCAAAAGGCCAGACUGACAGCACCUUGGCAGCAGCCCGUACCGACUUAACGCCCAAAUGGACGGCUGCCCAGCCUGACCAGUGCUCUGACCACCAGUGCCCACAGAGGACUGAAACCACACCCUCCUCCCAACCAAUCAAAAAGGUUGUAUAUGGUCCUGCCUAAUCUGUCCUCUUUUCAGAUGGUCAAAGAAUUUUUCUCAUCACUGCUACUGUUUAUAACUCCAGGCAAAACCGUUUGACCUGCAGGCGCAGCACUUGCCACUGAUAUGCUUGAUAAGAAAAUGAACACUGCCACAUCUUAGAUCAGGCCACAAUACAAAACAUCACUGUGAGUGCAACUGAAUAAACCAGCCUCUGUCUUGUUGAUAGACCUGACUACGCCUUUGUUUAGGCGACAAACUACUCAACUGGUUGAAAUGAGAAACCAGCACCUUCAACACAUUGAAGCAAUUAUUCAACACAAUAGCCAGCCUUACAAUGUUUGGAGUACCUGGUGAUUUAGGUCAUGUCUCCAUGGUAGUUAAAGCAGGAUAUCAUGGAUCGAACUUAACCCAGCCAUGUGAUGUUCCCACUACCCCCCUUCAAACUAAACAAUACAGAUGUAAACUGGGCUAAAGUGAUGAACUCCUUUCAUUACAUAUAAUUGUCCCGCACCUGCUUUAUUUGCAGUCAAAGGAUUGUACACAUUUUUGCCCCUCCUAGUUUUAAAAUCACCCCUGCAGCGACAGGACCGACUCAGUCAUGCAACGAUCACAGGAAUGUGUCAUUGUGACAGUGUACUAAUGUCACUCUCUCUGUUCACAUGACUUUGAAACAACUCACUUACAACACGCCUCUUUGCAUUAUGCUUCCUAUCAUAUCAGUAGUUAUAACAUCAGUGCAGCAGAGGAAUUAUGUUUUUGUUGACAUGAAACAAUCAAACAUAGCCUCCUGUUUCUACGUCAAAGGCUACUACUUGUGUUAUCAGUGGGACCAGUAACAACAUGUUAUCAAUGUAAACAGGUGCCAAGGCUUGACUAGAGGCAUGUCCUGGAAUGGGAGGGUUUCUCAGAUAUUCAAAGGUAGUAAAUGCAUUUUGCAUUUGAGUUGUAUUUAGAUAUGUUAAAUACUUUGAACAGUCUAUUAUGGCAAAGACAGAAAUGUCAAAAGACUAUGACUUUGGAUAGGGUUUGGGCACAUUAUCUUUCGCCUGCUCCCUCCGUAUCUGACACGUCGCCUUGGUGGCUGCUUCCUGUUGCAUUCAGAGCUGUGGGAAACACGGAGUGUACUUUCAGAAAUCCACCCGAAAUACCAAAUCAAGUGGGGUUUUUCUUUAACAAGGACUCUUGAUAAGUAAGAUGACGUGAAAAACUAAACAGUGGUGACCUGCUGAUAUGGAAAAGCUGUAAUCUAAGAAGAGAGCCACAUACAAAACAGUGAUGGCCACUGGAGCAGAAGUGCACCAUUGCUCUGUAAACACAUUCAGAACAAUCAGCAGUCAGUUGUAAUACACAGAGACAUGGACACACACACACACACACACACACACCACACACACACACACACACACAGACACAGAUAAUUUCCCAGACGACAGUUAUGUAACAUAAAUGCACAACAGCAGAUGAUUUAUUAGUGAAAAUGUUAGCAAACUACUGUUUGUCUGUAUUUAUUUACUACAGUCUGUAUGCAUAUAUGAGAUUAUCUGUGGACCUUGUGUUUACUGUGUGUGUUUGUGCAUAUAUCUGUCAGUGUGUGUGUGUGUCUAUGCCUGUGUGUGUAUCAGAGUAUGCAAUGCCUCAAGAAUGCUCAAUACCGCUGCCCUGCCAAAUAUCAGUUAUGUAAUUGCAUCAUUUUCUUCAAGUCUGUUCCUGUGAACUGCUGUCACUUCACCUCCCUAAAUCUCCACCAUGUUCUUUCUUUUUUCUCUCUCUCUGUUUCCCUCCCUCUGCUCCCCUCCCUCCCUCGAUGUAUAAUACCCCUUUCCUCUUCUCUCCAGUUGUCUCUACACUCUUCACACCCUCUUCUAAUUCAUUAUUUUGCACAGCAUCUUUUAUCUCCCAUUGCCCCCUCUUCUUCUCUCUUUCUCUUGCAGACACUUGCUAUUCCCUUGCUUUCUGACACCCCACAUACUGUAUAUACCCCUCUCUUUUUCACACUCACACCCUCUUUACCUCUCUUUCUCUCUCUCUCUCUCUCUCUCUCUCUUUCUCUCUGUGUGUGUCUCUGUCUCUCCAGGGUACAGUCUGUGCUGACAGCCUGUUCCUCCAGAAUUGAUUUCUACCCAGAAUGCAAUAAAAGUCAGUGAAGAGAGAAGAGGAGCAAGAGGUCAACACCAUCCAGUGGGUAGCAGCUGUCACUUUUCCUCUCCAGCCUCCCACAUUAGACGAAGUGAACCUGUGGCUGCCCAGACGCCACAGACACGUUGAUGGGUGGGUCCCAGACUAGGUGUUCAUUGAUCAGUCUGGAAGGUCAGAGUCGGGUGGAGCGGGGGCGGCUAGAGGAAUGACGUGAAGGGUGACUGGGGGUCGACACUCGUCGUCUCUUUUCUCCACCUACCUUUGUGGCCAUCAAUGCUACAUCCCUUUUUUGCUCCUUACUUUCUCCCUUUGUCUUCCUCUGUGAAAUAAAUCAUUUUUUUAACACAAACUGACACAUUAUAUGUUAUGUGAUUAUUAAUAUUCCUGUCAGAAAAGCAUAUAAUUGGUAUAUUAAGUGAGGAGACGGUGAACAUAGCAAUCCUUGAUGCUUUUAUAUUUCUACAUAUAUGCUACUUCCCUUUCAUCUGA
Molecule: long non-coding RNA, 3470 nt
Organism: Lates calcarifer (barramundi perch)
Lineage: Eukaryota; Metazoa; Chordata; Actinopteri; Centropomidae
Exons: 3
Source: RefSeq, a predicted model, not a curated record